This 555-nucleotide ribosomal RNA is filed under the name uncultured bacterium. RNAcentral's name for it is "partial 16S ribosomal RNA". It matches the Rfam family "Bacterial small subunit ribosomal RNA", at positions 355 to 900 of the family's 1533-position model. The record is from RNAcentral.
UAGGGAAUCUUCCACAAUGGACGCAAGUCUGAUGGAGCAACGCCGCGUGAGUGAAGAAGGUUUUCGGACCGUAAAGCUCUGUUGUUGGUGAAGAAGGAUAGAGGUAGUAACUGGCCUUUAUUUGACGGUAAUCAACCAGAAAGUCACGGCUAACUACGUGCCAGCAGCCGCGGUAAUACGUAGGUGGCAAGCGUUGUCCGGAUUUAUUGGGCGUAAAGCGAGCGCAGGCGGAAGAAUAAGUCUGAUGUGAAAGCCCUCGGCUUAACCGAGGAAUUGCAUCGGAAACUGUUUUCUUGAGUGCAGAAGAGGAGAGUAGAACUCCAUGUGUAGCGGUGGAAUGCGUAGAUAUAUGGAAGAAUACCAGUGGCGAAGGCGGCUCUCUGGUCUGCAACUGACGCUGAGGCUCGAAAGCAUGGGUAGCGAACAGGAUUAGAUACCCUUGGUAGUCCAUGCCGUAAACGAUGAGUGCUAAGUGUUGGGAGGCUUCCGCCUCUCAGUGCUGCAGCUAACGCAUUAAGCACUCCGCCUGGGGGAGUACGACCGCAAGGUUGAAAC